CCUCCCAAGAGGAGGGCAGGUUCUAAUUAAGCUAACAGACAGCAGGGUGAAAACAUUGUCCACUGAAAUCAGAAUAACACAGUGUUUUCAAGAAUGGAAGGCUCUGCUUUUUUCCUGAAGCAGUGACGUGCCAGGCAGCUCCGCUGGCAGGCAAGACAAUCUGGCUCCAUCAGAGAGACUGUGAGAUGAAGGUUCAAACAGAGGAGGCAGUGAGCUAUCCAGAGAAGUACAAACCAAAGCCUCUGUCUUCAGAAAGUUCUGGAUUUGAAAGUGUCCAUGUAUUCAGGAUAAAAAUGAGCCACUGCUGACAACUGUGAAGAAAGAAAAAACAGCUGUUUGCAUCUGGAUGUGGAGUAUGAAAGAACAGCUGCUGGCAGCUGUGGCAGACAAGAAAGUGAGCAAAUGAAUAGCUGCUGGCGAUUCAGUCUAGUAGGCCGCCCAGAAUCACUGAACUCCAGAAGAAGCACACACAGCUCAACGUAACUGCUUUAUUGUAUCCUGCUCUUUAUUAAAUCUUGCUUAUUUUUCAUUAGAGACAUUCCCUACUGAGGGACCUCAGCAGGAAAAACUAUCACCAUUUCCCCAUCCAUAACCCUUUGGUUUGGUUUGCAACCUAAUAGCAGUAAAAUGGCACAGACGUUUUCUUCCUUUAAGGCGUACCUAUUUUUACAAGAUGGAAGAAGACUAUUGUUGGCAAAGGAAGGCAUACCAAUCAACAGUGGAACUAUCACAAGAUUGGGCAAAAGUGAUUCUGUUUUACAGAAUAUUAUGGUCUUUUUAAUAAUGACACAUUUUAGCAUUUCAGUAGGCCAGAAUGUGACAAUGUAAGCAUAACUUAAACUUGGAAAAAUGCAUUUUAAAACCCUGUCAA
Molecule: non-coding RNA, 871 nt
Organism: Ictidomys tridecemlineatus (thirteen-lined ground squirrel)
Lineage: Eukaryota; Metazoa; Chordata; Mammalia; Rodentia; Sciuridae
Source: RefSeq, a predicted model, not a curated record